AGUGGCGGACGGGUGAGUAACGCGUAAGAAUCUAACUUCAGGACGGGGACAACAGUGGGAAACGACUGCUAAUACCCGAUGUGCCGCGAGGUGAAACCUAAUUGGCCUGAAGAAGAGCUUGCGUCUGAUUAGCUAGUUGGUGGGGUAAGAGCCUACCAAGGCGACGAUCAGUAGCUGGUCUGAGAGGAUGAGCAGCCACACUGGGACUGUGACACGGCCCAGACUCCUACGGGAGGCAGCAGUGGGGAAUUUUCCGCAAUGGGCGAAAGCCUGACGGAGCAACGCCGCGUGAGGGAGGAAGGUCUUUGGAUUGUAAACCUCUUUUCUCAAGGAAGAAGUUCUGACGGUACUUGAGGAAUCAGCCUCGGCUAACUCCGUGCCAGCAGCCGCGGUAAUACGGGGGAGGCAAGCGUUAUCCGGAAUUAUUGGGCGUAAAGCGUCCGCAGGUGGUCAGCCAAGUCUGCCGUCAAAUCAGGUUGCUUAACGACCUAAAGGCGGUGGAAACUGGCAGACUAGAGAGCAGUAGGGGUAGCAGGAAUUCCCAGUGUAGCGGUGAAAUGCGUAGAGAUUGGGAAGAACAUCGGUGGCGAAAGCGUGCUACUGGGCUGUAUCUGACACUCAGGGACGAAAGCUAGGGGAGCGAAAGGGAUUAGAUACCCCUGUAGUCCUAGCCGUAAACGAUGGAUACUAGGCGUGGCUU
Molecule: ribosomal RNA, 700 nt
Filed under: uncultured bacterium
Lineage: Bacteria
Description: bacterial SSU rRNA
Rfam family: Bacterial small subunit ribosomal RNA
Source: RNAcentral